This 88-nucleotide transfer RNA is filed under the name Salmo salar (Atlantic salmon). It matches the Rfam family "tRNA". Rfam says of the family: Transfer RNA (tRNA) molecules are approximately 80 nucleotides in length. The record is from Rfam by way of RNAcentral. Lineage: Eukaryota; Metazoa; Chordata; Actinopteri; Salmoniformes; Salmonidae.
CCUUUGAUAGCUCAGUUGGUAGAGCAGAGGACUGUAGCUGCUAAUUGUAGCAAUCCUUAGGUCGCUGGUUCAAAUCCGGCUCUAAGGA